RNAcentral lists this ribosomal RNA (253 nucleotides) under uncultured bacterium. RNAcentral describes it as "partial 16S ribosomal RNA". It matches the Rfam family "Bacterial small subunit ribosomal RNA", at positions 524 to 776 of the family's 1533-position model. The record is from RNAcentral.
UACGUAGGGCGCAAGCGUUGUCCGGAAUUAUUGGGCGUAAAGAGCUCGUAGGCGGUCUGUUGCGUCCGCUGUGAAAACUCGGGGCUUAACCCCGAGCCUGCAGUGGAUACGGGCAGACUAGAGGUAGGUAGGGGAGAAUGGAAUUCCCGGUGUAGCGGUGAAAUGCGCAGAUAUCGGGAGGAGCACCGGUGGCGAAGGCGGUUCUCUGGGCCUUACCUGACGCUGAGGAGCGAAAGCGUGGGGAACGAACAGG